AUGGAAGUGGCAUUAGCUACUGCUGCCUUAAGCGUAAGCUUAAAAUUGGCUGCAUCGCCGGCCUUAAAGAAGCUCCUUUCUAAUGCUUCAACGUACCUUGGAAUUGAUAUGGCUCGUGAGCUCCAUGAACUGGAGACCACUGUCUUGCCGCAGUUCGAGCUGUUGAUUGAAGCAGCAGAUAAGGGAAACCACAGGCUCAAGUUGGACAAAUGGCUUCAGGAACUCAAAGAAGGCUUCUACCUGGCUGAAGACUUGCUGGACGAGCAUGAAUACAACCUCCUCAAGCGCCAAGCAAAGGGGAAGGCUUCCUUGCCGGCCAACGCCUCCUCCAUCAGCAACACUUUAAUGAAGCCUCUGCGUGCUGCAUCAAGCAAGCUGUCCAAUAUGAGCUCUGAGAACAGAAAGCUAAUUCAACAUCUGAAUGAACUGAAGACCACCCUGGUGAAAGCCAAGGACUUCCGUACACUGCUUUGCUUACCAGCUGAUUAUAAUGCAGAGAACCCUCCCAUAUCAUCAGCUGUUGUUCCGGAGACGACAUCAAUACCACCUCUGAAAGUGAUUGGUCGUGACAAGGAUCGCGAUCAUAUAAUAAAGCGUCUUACCAGGACAACUGCUAGUACUGAUUCUAGUAUAGCUUUGUACUCAGGUUUGGCCAUCGUUGGAGCUGGAGGCAUGGGAAAGUCCACCUAG
This 690-nucleotide ribosomal RNA is filed under the name Triticum aestivum (bread wheat). RNAcentral describes it as "partial small subunit ribosomal RNA". The record is from RNAcentral. Lineage: Eukaryota; Viridiplantae; Streptophyta; Magnoliopsida; Poales; Poaceae.